Molecule: non-coding RNA, 25 nt
Filed under: Rattus norvegicus (Norway rat)
Lineage: Eukaryota; Metazoa; Chordata; Mammalia; Rodentia; Muridae
Source: RNAcentral
UCAUUAUAUGUGAAAAGUUAGGUUG